This is a non-coding RNA of Camellia sinensis, 1363 nucleotides long. NCBI's taxonomy places the organism in Eukaryota, Viridiplantae, Streptophyta, Magnoliopsida, Ericales, Theaceae. The record is from RefSeq and is a predicted model, not a curated record.
UCUAUUUGCGUUCUUUGAACUUCAAUAGUCGGGAGGUUUCAUUCAAAGGCUCUCUCUCUCUCACUCUCUCGAUCGAUCGAAUCCCUAAUUUCCUUCUCCAUAGAAUUGGGGGUUUGUUGAUUUCGAUCCCUGAUCUGAUCUCAGAGACUCUUGAUCUGCACUUCUAAUCGGUGCUUUGUUGAUUUCGUCCCCAAGGAGUCUCAUAUCGUCUCUCUCAAUAGCGAUUUCCGUAUCCAGGCUUGAUCGAUUAAUCGAUUUCAAUCUCAUUGAUUUGGUUUUCAAUCUGUUGUUCGCAUUUGUUCUUCAAAAAUGCUUAUUUAUCGGUGUAAUGUUUGUGUUGAUUAUGUGGUAUAACAGCCUUUUCAACACUGACUCUAUCCCCAAGGAACAACACCAAUGGCAACAAGAGCAAGAAUGUUGUAGCAUCAUCUAUAUCUCUUCGUCAGAAAACACUAAGUUCGAUCUUGGAACUGAAGGAAUUGGCCUCUUCGCUCUUGGGCUCCGCCAAGCGCCAUCUCGAUCGCUUGCAUUUGGAGAUCCUCAAGGACCUUCAGCUUCUCUCUCUCUCUCUCUCUCUCUCUCUCUCUCUCUCUCUCUCGUCUUCAUAAACGAUUAAAGGUAGAAGGAGUAACUACACUAAUUCACUCAACACAAGUGUCAUGGGAUAACACUCUGGACCAUGCAUCAUAUUUCAGAGUUGGCAAGGUAUUUGAGUUUACUAACCAAUUAGAAUUGUGAAUAAUAUAGAAUAGAAUUGUGAUAAAUAAGUCGAAAUUCUAUAUCAUAAUAUAUCGUAUUGCUAGAUUUAUUGUUCUGUUUUAUAAUAUUCAAGUUCUUGUGAAGCUCUUUUUGGUUGUAGAUUGUGGAGGCAAAAGUUCACCUAGUGCUGAGGCCCUUGCCACUAACAAGGUUUGGAGAGUUUAACCGUCUGGAGAGUUUAACCUUCUGUACACCCCGGAAAAAUGAAUGCCCAAAAACAUGAAUACAUGAAUCUGUCAGUCUGUAGGUGAUGGGGGUUCCCAGCAUCUAUGGCGAUGCAAGUUUUCCAUGCCCUUAGAAGUGAUAGGUUCGAGUAAGCCAGUAAGCAGCACUGGUAUAGAACUUUCUGAAUUUAUCUUUUUGUAUCCAGAUAAAAUUUUCUGAUACUCUUUUAUUUUAUUUUAUCCAUAAUUUUUGUGAUCAGUAAAGUUAUUAGAAAAAAACAAAGGGGGCAGAGCAUAAGCAUUUGUGACACAUAUGAGUAAACAUAAAAAGCUAUAAACCCUUGAUAAAACAACAUAAUCCUAAUUCUCCACAAUAUUGAAGUCUUAGGAAAUAAGUUUAACCUUCCAGUCCUCAAAAAAAAAAAAGAAAAAGAAGAAGC